Molecule: long non-coding RNA, 1929 nt
Organism: Mytilus californianus (California mussel)
Lineage: Eukaryota; Metazoa; Mollusca; Bivalvia; Mytilida; Mytilidae
Exons: 14
Source: RefSeq, a predicted model, not a curated record
GUUCUAGACCUGGAGACGAUUAAAUUGAAGAUGCCUAGAUGAUGAUAUACCAGCCCCAGGAUAUUUACGUCAGGACAGGUAACAUAUGCAUCGGAAAGUAAGUAUAUUUUUUUUUUAUUUAUUAAUAGUUGUCUGAUAGAUAUUAAAAUAAUUUGAAUAUGUAUUACAGAUAGACGGGAGCCCCGAGAGAAGAAGACGAAAUUACAGUCCUAGACAUGGCGAUGAUUUAGUUGUAGAUGCCCAGAUGAUGAUAUACCAGCCCCAGGAUAUUUACAUCAGGACAGGUAACAUAUGCAUCGGAAAGUAAGUAUAUUUUUUUUUUAUUUAUUAAUAGUUGUCUGAUAGAUAUUAAAAUAAUUUGAAUAUGUAUUACAGAUAGACGGGAGCCCUGAGAGAAGAAGACGAAAUUACAGUCCUAGACAUGGCGAUGAUUUAGUUGUAGAUGCCCAGAUGAUGAUAUAGACGGCAGCCCAGAGAGAAGAAGAGAGUACAGUUUUAGACCUGGAGACGAUUAAAUUGAAGAUGCCUAGAUGCCUAGAUGAUGAUAUACCAGCCCCAGGAUAUUUACAUCAGGACAGGUAACAUAUGCAUCGGAAAGUAAGUAUAUUUUUUUUUUAUUUAUUAAUAGUUGUCUGAUAGAUAUUAAAAUAAUUUGAAUAUGUAUUACAGAUAGACGGGAGCCCUGAGAGAAGAAGACGAAAUUACAGUCCUAGACAUGGCGAUGAUUUAGUUGUAGAUGCCCAGAUGAUGAUAUAGACGGCAGCCCAGAGAGAAGAAGAGAGUACAGUUUUAGACCUGGAGACGAUUAAAUUGAAGAUGCCUAGAUGCCUAGAUGAUGAUGCCUGAGAAGUUUCAGUUGUACAGCUUGAAGAUAGUUCCAUUGUACAUAGAAGAUGAAGAUGAGUUCGGUUAAACCUUGUUAGUGAAAAAAACAAAAUAAAGCAGCAUGCAGGGAUAGCAGUUCCAAGCAAGAUGGUAACAUAGAUCUUCAUUACUAACUCCGAGGCUCUGCCAUGAAAAAAAUAAAAAAGCAAGGACAGCAGCUCCAAGGAAGAUUAUUACAUUGAUAAUCUUGCAAGUCUGAUGUGUGGCCAUUAAAGAAAUAAUGUUAUUUCUGAGUGGUACAUAUAUACAAUAACUAUCUGAUUUCCAUCUACAUGCAGAGUGAAAAAAAAAAAAGCAUCAGGGAUAGCAGUUCCAAGCAAGAUGGUAACAUAGAUCUUCAUUGCUAACUCAGAGGCUCUGCCAUGAAAAAAUAAAGAAGCAAGGACAGCAGCUCCAAGGAAGAUUAUUACAUUGAUCAUCUUCCAAGUCUGAUGUGUGGCCAUUAAAGAAAUAAUGUGAUUUCAGUGUUUUCAUGGAUGGGAGUAAGACUUGGUAGUAUAAUAUGUCUAAUAUUUAAGCUACCAUUAAUUACUGCUGGUCAGUAUGGAUUGUAUAGAAUUGUCAUUGGAGCUGUCUUUUAAGGUUAUUACAGUGACUGUUUUCAUGGAUGGGGACUAAAACUUGGUGGUCUAAUACUCAUAAAUUAAUGAAGAUUUGGGAUCCUUUUGGCUUGAAAUAUUGUCAGGAACAUGAAGAAACUGAAUCCAUAAUAAACAUAUGUACGCAAACAGGUAGAUAUACCGACAAAAUAACAACACUGGUUGAUACAAUUCUAGGAACCAGUGAAGAAGUUAAAAGUUUUACAAUAUAUUGAAGACUUGCAACAGAAAAUGUUUUACUGAACAGUAUGAGAGAGCCAAGAUGAUUGUUGGAUUUAAAAUGCUUGGAAAAUACAACCAAAUGAAGACAAAAAAUGCACUGCAUCAACAAACAAAACAACUACUGGAACGUUGGGGCAUCAGUACUGAGUUCUGAUUCUAAAAACAAUUGUUCAAAAUCUUCUACAAGUUUAAGAAGACUGUACAUACAUGUAUAUAUAUAUAU